AUUGUUACCUGGCAGGGGAGAUAACCGUGAUCUCGAAGGUGGUUUUCCCAGGGUGAGGCUCAUCCACUGCACUCGGGUAUGCCGAUUCCCCCACUUCCCCAGCUGUGGGAAACUCGAGGGCAUCAUUUGUGGUAGUGGGCGACUUGUGCUUGCACUCUCCCCCU
Phyllostomus discolor (pale spear-nosed bat) is the source of this 164-nucleotide small nuclear RNA. RefSeq annotates it as U1 spliceosomal RNA. The transcript has a single exon. The record is from RefSeq and is a predicted model, not a curated record. Lineage: Eukaryota; Metazoa; Chordata; Mammalia; Chiroptera; Phyllostomidae.